UACGAAGGGUGCAAGCGUUACUCGGAAUUACUGGGCGUAAAGCGUGCGUAGGUGGUUUGUUAAGUCUGUUGUGAAAGCCCCGGGCUCAACCUGGGAAUGGCAAUGGAUACUGGCAGGCUAGAGUGCGGUAGAGGGUAGUGGAAUUCCCGGUGUAGCAGUGAAAUGCGUAGAGAUCGGGAGGAACACCAGUGGCGAAGGCGGCAUCCUGGACCGGCAUUGACGCUGAGGCGCGAAAGCUAGGGGAGCAAACGGG
This 253-nucleotide ribosomal RNA is filed under the name uncultured bacterium. RNAcentral's name for it is "partial 16S ribosomal RNA". It matches the Rfam family "Bacterial small subunit ribosomal RNA", at positions 524 to 776 of the family's 1533-position model. The record is from RNAcentral.